RNAcentral lists this small RNA (114 nucleotides) under Cricetulus griseus (Chinese hamster). RNAcentral describes it as "tRNA-Ser". The record is from RNAcentral. Lineage: Eukaryota; Metazoa; Chordata; Mammalia; Rodentia; Cricetidae.
GUGUAGUGCCAGGGAUGGAAUCCAGGGCCUUCUACAUGCUAGACUGCUUGGUCACACCCCCAGCUGCUCACUGAGGGAUUCUAGGCAGAUGUUCUACCACUAAACCACACCCCA